AGAGUUUGAUCCUGGCUCAGGAUGAACGCUGGCGGCAUGCCUAAUACAUGCAAGUCGAACGAGAGGAAGGAAAGCUUGCUUUUCUGAAUCUAGUGGCGAACGGGUGAGUAACACGUAGGUAACCUGCCCAUGUGCCCGGGAUAACUUCUGGAAACGGAUGCUAAAACCGGAUAGGUAGCAGACAAGCAUUUGACUGCUAUUAAAGUGGCUAAGGCCAUGAACAUGGAUGGACCUGCGGUGCAUUAGCUAGUUGGUGAGGUAACGGCCCACCAAGGCGACGAUGCAUAGCCGGCCUGAGAGGGCGGACGGCCACAUUGGGACUGAGACACGGCCCAAACUCCUACGGGAGGCAGCAGUAGGGAAUUUUCGUCAAUGGGGGGAACCCUGAACGAGCAAUGCCGCGUGAGUGAGGAAGGUCUUCGGAUCGUAAAGCUCUGUUGUAAGAGAAAAACGACAUUCAUAGGGAAUGAUGAGUGAGUGAUGGUAUCUUACCAGAAAGUCACGGCUAACUACGUGCCAGCAGCCGCGGUAAUACGUAGGUGGCGAGCGUUAUCCGGAAUGAUUGGGCGUAAAGGGUGCGUAGGUGGCAGAACAAGUCUGGAGUAAAAGGUAUGGGCUCAACCCGUACUGGCUCUGGAAACUGUUCAGCUAGAGAACAGAAGAGGACGGCGGAACUCCAUGUGUAGCGGUAAAAUGCGUAGAUAUAUGGAAGAACACCGGUGGCGAAGGCGGCCGUCUGGUCUGUUGCUGACACUGAAGCACGAAAGCGUGGGGAGCAAAUAGGAUUAGAUACCCUAGUAGUCCACGCCGUAAACGAUGAGAACUAGGUGUUGGGGGAAUAACUCAGUGCCGCAGUUAACGCAAUAAGUUCUCCGCCUGGGGAGUAUGCACGCAAGUGUGAAACUCAAAG
This 910-nucleotide ribosomal RNA is filed under the name uncultured bacterium. RNAcentral's name for it is "bacterial SSU rRNA". It matches the Rfam family "Bacterial small subunit ribosomal RNA", at positions 8 to 906 of the family's 1533-position model. The record is from RNAcentral.